This 500-nucleotide ribosomal RNA is filed under the name uncultured bacterium. Its description in RNAcentral is "partial 16S ribosomal RNA". It matches the Rfam family "Bacterial small subunit ribosomal RNA", at positions 30 to 523 of the family's 1533-position model. The record is from RNAcentral.
AUUGAACGCUGGCGGAAUGCUUUACACAUGCAAGUCGAACGGCAGCACGGACUUCGGUCUGGUGGCGAGUGGCGAACGGGUGAGUAAUACAUCGGAACGUGCCCAGUCGUGGGGGAUAACGUAGCGAAAGCUACGCUAAUACCGCAUACGAUCUAAGGAUGAAAGCGGGGGAUCGCAAGACCUCGCGCGAUUGGAGUGGCCGAUGGCAGAUUAGGUAGUUGGUGGGGUAAAGGAUCACCAAGCCGACGAUCUGUAGCUGGUCUGAGAGGACGACCAGCCACACUGGGACUGAGACACGGCCCAGACUCCUACGGGAGGCAGCAGUGGGGAAUUUUGGACAAUGGGCGCAAGCCUGAUCCAGCCAUUCCGCGUGCAGGAUGAAGGCCCUCGGGUUGUAAACUGCUUUUGUACGGAACGAAAAGGCUCUGGUUAAUACCUGGGGCUCAUGACGGUACCGUAAGAAUAAGCACCGGCUAACUACGUGCCAGCCGCCGCAGUAA